GACGAACGCUGGCGGCGUGCCUAAUACAUGCAAGUCGAACGCUGAAGGAGGAGCUUGCUUCUCUGGAUGAGUUGCGAACGGGUGGGUAACGCGUAGGUAACCUGCCUGGUAGCGGGGGAUAACUAUUGGAAACGAUAGCUUAUACCGCAUAAGAGUAGAUGUUGCAUUACAUUUGCUUAAAAGGUGCAAUUGCAUCACUACCAGAUGGACCUGCGUGGUAUUAGCUAGUUGGUGGGGUAACGGCUCCCCAAGGCGACGAUUCAUAGCCGACCUGAUAGGGGGAGCGGACACACUGAGAGUGAGAGAGAGCCCAGACUCCUUCGGGAGGGAGCAGUAGGGAAGCUUCGGUAAUGGACGGAAGUCUGACUGAGGAACGCCGCGUGAGUGAAGAAGGUUUUCGGAUCGGAAAGCACUGUUGUAAGAGAAGAAAGAGUGUGAGAGUGGAAAGUUCACACUGUGACGGUAGCUUACCAGAAAGGGACGGCUAACUACGUG
Molecule: ribosomal RNA, 495 nt
Filed under: uncultured bacterium
Lineage: Bacteria
Description: partial 16S ribosomal RNA
Rfam family: Bacterial small subunit ribosomal RNA
Source: RNAcentral